UCUUCUAGUUGCAACGGUGUUGGUUCAAGUUCAGGAUACAUACUUAAAAAUUUCGAAUCGAAGCUCUGGAUUCCAAGAUGAAGCAAAUAUGGAUAAUGAAGGUUGACCUUUCCUGACUUGUUGAAAGGGAUCAAUCCUCUUGAAAAAUAAAUAGCAUAACCAUGAUUAUCCACCACGCACUUCACACGAUUGGGAUCGAAUGCAUCUUCAGGUUUUAAGGAUGUCACUGCAGUGCUGAACACUGCAUCUGGGGCAGCCUGCAGAGCUUUAACGAUGCCGUCAAUGAUCUCCGGUUCAAUAAGGGGCUCAUCCCCUUGAAUAUUUACAACAAUGUCAUAUUUCUUUUCAAGCUUCUGAAGUGCUUCAUUACAACGCUCAGUCCCAUUCCGGCAAGACUCUGAUGUCAUUACAACAUCAGCACCAAAUCCUCUACAGCAUUGUGCAAUCUUAGCAUCAUCCGUCGCUACAACAACACAAUCCAAUGAAGUAGCCAUUUUUGCCCUUUCCCAUGUUCUCUGG
This 519-nucleotide unclassified non-coding RNA is filed under the name Hevea brasiliensis (rubber tree). The record is from RNAcentral. Lineage: Eukaryota; Viridiplantae; Streptophyta; Magnoliopsida; Malpighiales; Euphorbiaceae.